This 864-nucleotide ribosomal RNA is filed under the name uncultured bacterium. Its description in RNAcentral is "bacterial SSU rRNA". It matches the Rfam family "Bacterial small subunit ribosomal RNA", at positions 36 to 897 of the family's 1533-position model. The record is from RNAcentral.
CUGGCGGCAGGCUUAACACAUGCAAGUCGAACCGAAGUUACGGAAGCUUGCUUCUGAUACUUAGUGGCGGACGGGUGAGUAAUGCUUAGGAAUCUGCCUAGUAGUGGGGGAUAACUUGGGGAAACCCAAGCUAAUACCGCAUACGACCUACGGGUGAAAGGGGGCUUUUAGCUCUCGCUAUUAGAUGAGCCUAAGUCGGAUUAGCUGGUUGGUGGGGUAAAGGCCUACCAAGGCGACGAUCUGUAGCUGGUCUGAGAGGAUGAUCAGCCACACUGGGACUGAGACACGGCCCAGACUCCUACGGGAGGCAGCAGUGGGGAAUAUUGGACAAUGGGCGAAAGCCUGAUCCAGCCAUGCCGCGUGUGUGAAGAAGGCCUUUUGGUUGUAAAGCACUUUAAGUGGGGAGGAAAAGCUUAUGGUUAGUACCCAUAAGCCCUGACGUUACCCACAGAAUAAGCACCGGCUAACUCUGUGCCAGCAGCCGCGGUAAUACAGAGGGUGCAAGCGUUAAUCGGAAUUACUGGGCGUAAAGCGCGCGUAGGUGGUUAUUUAAGUCAGAUGUGAAAGCCCCGGGCUUAACCUGGGAACUGCAUCUGAUACUGGAUAACUAGAGUAGGUGAGAGGGGAGUAGAAUUCCAGGUGUAGCGGCGAAAUGCGUAGAGAUCUGGAGGAAUACCGAUGGCGAAGGCAGCUCCCUGGCAUCAUACUGACACUGAGGUGCGAAAGCGUGGGUAGCAAACAGGAUUAGAUACCCUGGUAGUCCACGCCGUAAACGAUGUCUACCAGUCGUUGGGUCUUUUAAAGACUUAGUGACGCAGUUAACGCAAUAAGUAGACCGCCUGGGGAGUACGGCCGCAAGGGUUA